CAGGGAUUGCCUCAGUAACGGCGAGUGAAGCGGCAACAGCUCAAAUUUGAAAUCUGGCGCCCCCCGGCGUCCGAGUUGUAAUUUGUAGAGGAUGCUAUUGGGUUGCCACCGGUCUAAGUUCCUUGGAACAGGACGUCACAGAGGGUGAGAAUCCCGUACGUGACCGGCCAGGCGCUCUCUGUAUAGCUCCUUCGACGAGUCGGGUUGUUUGGGAAUGCAGCCCUAAAUGGGAGGUAAAUUUCUUCUAAAGCUAAAUACCGGCCAGAGACCGAUAGCGCACAAGUAGAGUGAUCGAAAGAUGAAAAGCACUUUGGAAAGAGAGUUAAAAAGCACGUGAAAUUGUUGAAAGGGAAGCGCUUGCCAUCAGUCUCGACGGCGGCUGUUCGGCCUCUCUUCUGAGUGGUUUAUUCAGUCGCCGCCGGGCCAGCAUCAGUUUCGGCGGCCGGACAAAGGCGCGGGGAAUGUAGCUCCCUCGGGAGUGUUAUAGCCCCGCGUGCAAUACGGCCCGCCGGGACUGAGGUCCGCGCUUCGGCUAGGAUGCUGGCGAAAUGGUGGUAAGCGGCCCGUCUUGAAACACGGACCAAGGAGUCUAACAUCUACGCGAGUGUUUGGGUGUCAAACCCGUGCGCGCAAUGAAAGUGAACGGAGGUGGGAACCGCAAGGUGCACCAUCGACCGAUCCUGAUGUCUUCGGAUGGAUUUGAGUAAGAGCGUAGCUGUUGGGACCCGAAAGAUGGUGAACUAUGCCUGAAUAGGGUGAAGCCAGAGGAAACUCUGGUGGAGGCUCGCAGCGGUUCUGACGUGCAAAUCGAUCGUCAAAUUUGGGUAUA
This 829-nucleotide ribosomal RNA is filed under the name Elsinoe necatrix. Its description in RNAcentral is "partial large subunit ribosomal RNA". It matches the Rfam family "Eukaryotic large subunit ribosomal RNA", at positions 69 to 919 of the family's 3401-position model. Lineage: Eukaryota; Fungi; Ascomycota; Dothideomycetes; Myriangiales; Elsinoaceae. The record is from RNAcentral.